This 1772-nucleotide long non-coding RNA is filed under the name Canis lupus familiaris (dog). RNAcentral's name for it is "lncRNA (ENSCAFG00000052072.1)". Lineage: Eukaryota; Metazoa; Chordata; Mammalia; Carnivora; Canidae. The record is from RNAcentral.
UUUAUUUAUUUAUUUAUUUAUUUAUUUAUUUAAAGAUUUUAUUUAUUUAUUCAUGAGAGACACAGAGAAAAAGAGGCAGAGACAGAGGCAGAGGGAGAAGCAGGCUCCAUGCAGGGAACCCGACGUGGGACUCGAUCCUGGGUCUCCAGGAUCACGCCCUGGGCUGAAGGCACAUGCUUAACCGCUGAACCACCCAGGCGUCCCAAGAUUUUAUUUAUUUAUUCAUGAGAGACACAGAGACAGAGAGAGGCAGAGACACAGGCAGAGGGAGAAGCAGGCUCCAUGCAGGGAGCCUGACAUGGGACUUGAUCCCGGACUCUAGGAUCACGCCCUGGGCUGAAGGUGGCGCUAAACCACUGAGCCACCAGGGCUGCCCUAUCAUUGUAAUUUAAAUUGAACUAUUUAAGUUUUCCAGACACAUAUUUAGUGAGGACUUUUUAAAAAUAUACAAGAGAGAAGCAAAGAAGCAUGAGGCUCUUUAGACUUGUUUUACUCUGGUGUAAUAAAUGGAUGAGAGCUGGUUUUACUGGGGUGUUAAUGACAACAGCUGGCACUGAGUAGUUGGAAUGUGCCAGGUACUCUUCGAAGCACUUUAUACAUAGCAAGCCACUUCAUCCUUCAUUCACCAGACCUAUCAUCAGGUGAAUCAGGUGAAUCUCUUAGAUCCCCAUUCUACAAAAAAGGAAAUUAAGGCACAGAGACACUUGCUCCAAGUCAUCCAGCUAGUAAAUGGCAGAGCUGGGAGUCUAGCUCUGGACACGAUACCAUAUAGUGCCUCUAGUGCAAUUUGCAAAAGGCCUGUGCUUUCUGGAACAAUGUGUAACCUAGGAGAGUGAAUGAAAGAGUCGGGAAGGACUAAGCUUCUGCUCUUUGCUCUUUUAGGGACAAAAUGAGCACACCAGGCACAUAUCCUUGCACGUUCCUCUUCAUCCAAUCAGAACUAGGGCUGCCCUUCCCUUAGUGGGAGGCCAUCGCAAGUUCCUGGGAGAAAUGGCACAUUGUGAUGGAUGCUUUUGGGCGCAAGACAAAAGUUUUUGCUAAGGUAUUUAUUUAAUCCUGUAACAAUCCUGCACUGUAAUAAAAAAGGAACAUAGAAUCUCCAUCUUACCAACAUUUCAUGAAACUGGUUUAAAAUAAAGUUCUAGUUUUGAUUCUUGUGUAGCUUCCUACAAUUGCUUUGUUCACACAUUACCUUGUUAUUAGCUCAUAGUAUUCAACAGCUUCUGGUUCUGUAGAUCAACUACCUGUUCACACUGGCAAUGGAAAAGGAGAAAAGUACUGUCACAUAAAUGCUGAGCCUAUGACAUGGGUCACCUUUAUCACAUGCUAAGAGUGCAUGCAGCAUGGUUUGUGUGGUCUUUGUCUCAUGGGUCAUACCAAAUGUAUUUGCCUCCCAAAGACAAAAGGCCAAACUACUUCCUUUUUUUUUUUUUUAAGAUUUAAUUUAUUUAUUCAUGAGAGACACACAGAGAGGCAGAGAGAGAAGCAGGCUCCAUGCAAAGAGCCUGAUGUGGGACUUGAUCCCUGGACUCCAGGAUCACACCCUGGGCUGAACGCAGGCGCUAAACCGCUGAGCCACUCAGAGAUGUCCUGCCAAACUACUUCCAACUCUGACAGUAACUGCAGGAAAUUUAGGUGAUUUCAGAUUGCUGCAGUCAUUCAAUGGAUACUAAAUAGAAUUAAUUGUUUUAUAACCAACAAUAAUAUUCAUAUUACUGUUGUUAUAUAUUUUUACAAAUCAUAUAUAUGACUCAAGAGCCAAUUUGGAAGAA